AUAUGGCGACACUUUUCAAUGACCGAGUCAAAGAUGGUAUGUGGCAACAGUUUACUAUCCUUGUAAAAAAAUAAAAACAUAUAAAGAAUAAUGGGUGAUGGAAAUUUUUUAAUAAAAUUUUCAGGAUUAGGCGGUUCAUUAUUUUGGUUUCCCUCUGUCUUUUCAUCUUUUCCCACUGUUCUAAAAUUCCCCAAAUUAAACUCUAAUUUCGUUUCUCUCUCCUCACUUAACUCACAUCUUAAACUGCAAAUUAUUGUUGAAUUUCGUUGAUUGUUUCAAAGACAAGGCAAAAGGGGGCUGAUCAUUCAACAGUUUAGCGGAUUAUUUCUACUAUCUUCAAGAUCGACAUAGAGGUUUUACCUAUGGUUCCUCCUGGUAGAAAGGCUAAUGAAGAAGGCUCGCCAUAUUCUGGACAGGAUAGUGGGGUGGUUUAUGCUGUCAAAUUGGACUCUGCUGAUGCAAUAACUAACUCAAAGGAUGGUGUCACUGAUCAUUUUGGAAAGUGUUUGCUUGUGCUGCAAGAGAUGGCUUCUGUGCAAAAUAUGCCUCUCUUGGUUCAUGGGAGGUUACAGAUCCCGACGCGAAUAUAUUUUAUCGGGAAAUGUUAUUCAAUGAGUCAGUUGUAAGACCUUUAUUACAGAGACUUUCUCAGCUAAAAGUUGUGACGAAACAUAUCACUACGGCGAUGCUGUCAAGUUUGUUGAAUUAGGCGAUGGAGCCACUGUGACUCCGAACACCUUGUAUUGGAUUGGAACUCUCUUUUCCAAGGAGGCUUGCAGCCACUGCACAAAACUACUAUCUUCAAUGCUCAAAAGGGGAAGGCACUUAUUUCAGCGGUAACUUGUGGGAGUAAAGAAUAUUUUCUUGGGACUGACAGUGCUCUUCAUGAGAGGUGGAAGAAGGAAUUUCUUGUGGAUGUGCUGGAAUCUUUCAUGCUCCUCUUGCUCUAUCACUUUAUGCCAAAAUAUUUGAAGUUUGCAUUCAUAAUAGAAGAGAAGUGGCUCUAGCUGGAGAAAGCCAAGUGUUUUAGUGCUCCAGGUUUUAUCUCUGCUGCUGUAGUGGAGCGCUGUUGUUUCUCUCUUCUGGAACAUUGCUACUGCUCGAAUUGUAAUGAGCUCUAUUUAGUUUUUUUUUUGUUUUUUUUUUUCAUUUUUUUGGAUGAAAAGUGUAAAUCUACUAACUAUAAAUGAAAAUAUCUAAGUUUUAUGUGUAUAUAUGUACUAUGUCUAUUGAUCAUUUUGGCUGAAAAAUGAAAAAUUGUUGCUUUUAAGCCAUUUUGAACCAGUGCCAAUUGCUUUUUUCUAGUGUUAUUAGCCACGGUAAUAUUUAUGGCGAAAGAGUUUAUUAGCCAUGGUAGAACUUGUGGCAAGUAAUUUGAUAGCCACGUUAAUAUUCGGGGCAAGUGAAUUUGUU
Chenopodium quinoa (quinoa) is the source of this 1413-nucleotide long non-coding RNA. RefSeq lists it as uncharacterized. The record is from RefSeq and is a predicted model, not a curated record. The transcript is spliced from 6 exons. Lineage: Eukaryota; Viridiplantae; Streptophyta; Magnoliopsida; Caryophyllales; Amaranthaceae.